UACGGGGGGAGCAAGCGUUGUUCGGAUUUACUGGGCGUAAAGAGCGCGCAGGCGGUCGUUCAAGUCGCGUGUGAAAGCCCCCCGGCUCAACUGGGGAGGGUCACGCGAUACUGAUCGACUCGAAGGCAGGAGAGGUCAGUGGAAUUCUCGGUGUAGUGGUGAAAUGCGUAGAUAUCGAGAGGAACACCAGUGGCGCAAGCGGCUGACUGGCCGAGACCUGACGCUGAGACACGACGGCGUGGGGAGCAAACCGG
This 254-nucleotide ribosomal RNA is filed under the name uncultured bacterium. RNAcentral's name for it is "partial 16S ribosomal RNA". It matches the Rfam family "Bacterial small subunit ribosomal RNA", at positions 524 to 776 of the family's 1533-position model. The record is from RNAcentral.